RNAcentral lists this ribosomal RNA (501 nucleotides) under uncultured bacterium. RNAcentral's name for it is "partial 16S ribosomal RNA". It matches the Rfam family "Bacterial small subunit ribosomal RNA", at positions 30 to 523 of the family's 1533-position model. The record is from RNAcentral.
AUUGAACGCUGGCGGCAGGCUUAACACAUGCAAGUAGAGCGGGAGAAGGUAGCUUGCUACCGGACCUAGCGGCGGCCGGGUGAGUAAUGCUUAGGAAUCUGCCUAUUAGUGGGGGACAACAUCUCGCAAGGGAUGCUAAUACCGCAUACGUCCUCCGGGAGAAAGCAGGGGAUCUUCGGACCUUGCGCUAAUAGAUGAUCCUAAGUCGGAUUAGCUAGUUGGUGGGGUAAAGGCCUACCAAGGCGACGAUCUGUCGUGGGUCUGAGAGGAUGAUACGCCACACUGGGACUGAUACACGGCCCAGACUCCUACGUGAGGCAGCAGUGGGGAAUAUUGGACAAUGGGGGGAACCCUGAUCCAGCCAUGCUGCGUAUGUGAAGAAGGCCUUAUGGUUGUAAAGCACUUUAAGCGAGGAGGAGGCUACUCUAGUUAAUACCUAGGGAUAGUGGACGUUACUCGCAGAAUAAGCACCGGCUAACUCUGUGCCAGCCGCCGCAGUAA